Molecule: long non-coding RNA, 497 nt
Organism: Pseudoliparis swirei
Lineage: Eukaryota; Metazoa; Chordata; Actinopteri; Perciformes; Liparidae
Exons: 2
Source: RefSeq, a predicted model, not a curated record
UUCUCAAAGCUGACUGUUCAGAUUGACAGAAUGUCAAUUGGUACAGACAAUUUCAAAAUAGUUAGUUUAAGUUUGUUUAAAGGAAUGGGAAGAAAUGAAAGCCAACUUUCUCAGGACUUUCCAGUGAAUUUGUUUGUCCUUCCCUUUUUCCCCCCAGAUGCACCGAGGAUCUGGCUGAUUACUGGAAAUUUGGAAGAUUGUUCUUUAUCUGCACUGUCACUUCUGUUAUUAAGGAGCAGUGGGCUGCAGUGAUGCGACCAGGAAGCAACUGGGGGUUCAGUGCCUUGCUCAAGGACACUUCGACUUGCAACUAAUGGGGAGAGCGGGGACCGAACCGACAACCUUGGGGUUGCAGGACGGCCCCCUUACCCCACUGAGCUACAGCCGCCCACAAUUAUGGACCUUUUGUGGUAUGUUUUGCUUUCACUUAUCAACUGAUAGUGAAUAAUUGGUUGAUUUUGAAAAUGUACAUUAAAUAAAAUGUUUUAAAAUCAAUA